This 164-nucleotide small nuclear RNA is filed under the name Notamacropus eugenii (tammar wallaby). Its description in RNAcentral is "U1 spliceosomal RNA (ENSMEUG00000017069.1)". It matches the Rfam family "U1 spliceosomal RNA". Rfam says of the family: U1 is a small nuclear RNA (snRNA) component of the spliceosome (involved in pre-mRNA splicing). Lineage: Eukaryota; Metazoa; Chordata; Mammalia; Diprotodontia; Macropodidae. The record is from RNAcentral.
AUACUUACCUGGCAGGGGUGAUUCCAUGAUCACGAAGGUGGUUUCCCCAGGGCGAGGCUUAUCCAUUGCACUCCGGAUGGGCUGACCCCUGCGAUUUCCCCAAAUGCGGGAAACUCGACUGCAUAAUUUGUGGUAGUGGGGGGCUGCGUUCGCGCUCUCCCCUG